UUUGGUGGCGAUAGCGAAGAGGUCACACCCGUUCCCAUGCCGAACACGGAAGUUAAGCUCUUCAGCGCCGAUGGUAGUUGGGGGUCUCCCCCUGUGAGAGUAGGACGCCGCCAAGC
RNAcentral lists this ribosomal RNA (116 nucleotides) under Bacillus pumilus. Lineage: Bacteria; Bacillati; Bacillota; Bacilli; Caryophanales; Bacillaceae. RNAcentral also lists the same sequence under 5 other names. The record is from RNAcentral.